RNAcentral lists this ribosomal RNA (326 nucleotides) under Lactiplantibacillus plantarum. Its description in RNAcentral is "bacterial SSU rRNA". It matches the Rfam family "Bacterial small subunit ribosomal RNA", at positions 86 to 408 of the family's 1533-position model. Lineage: Bacteria; Bacillati; Bacillota; Bacilli; Lactobacillales; Lactobacillaceae. The record is from RNAcentral.
ACAGAGUGAGUGGCGAACUGGUGAGUAACACGUGGGAAACCUGCCCAGAAGCGGGGGAUAACACCGGAAACAGAUGCUAAUACCGCAUAACAACUUGGACCGCAUGGUCCGAGUUUGAAAGAUGGCUUCGGCUAUCACUUUUGGAUGGUCCCGCGGCGUAUUAGCUAGAUGGUGGGUAACGGCUCACCAUGGCAAUGAUACGUAGCCGACCUGAGAGGGUAAUCGGCCACAUUGGGACUGAGACACGGCCCAAACUCCUACGGGAGGCAGCAGUAGGGAAUCUUCCACAAUGGACGAAAGUCUGAUGGACAACGCCGCGUGAGUGA